UCGACGAUGUCAGCGUUCCUUA
Molecule: non-coding RNA, 22 nt
Filed under: Arabidopsis thaliana (thale cress)
Lineage: Eukaryota; Viridiplantae; Streptophyta; Magnoliopsida; Brassicales; Brassicaceae
Source: RNAcentral